UGGGUAACCUGCCUCAAAGAGGGGAAUAGCCUCCCGAAAGGGGAGAUUAAUACCGCAUAAUAUGUUUAAGUCGCAUGACUUUAACAUCAAAGGAUUUUUCUUUUAAGAAAUUCCACUUUGAGAUGGACCCGCGGCGCAUUAGCUAGUUGGUGAGGUAACGGCUCACCAAGGCAACGAUGCGUAGCCGACCUGAGAGGGUGAUCGGCCACAUUGGAACUGAGACACGGCCCAGCUCC
RNAcentral lists this ribosomal RNA (236 nucleotides) under uncultured bacterium. RNAcentral's name for it is "partial 16S ribosomal RNA". It matches the Rfam family "Bacterial small subunit ribosomal RNA", at positions 118 to 338 of the family's 1533-position model. The record is from RNAcentral.